UGCCAGCCGCCGCGGUAACACGGGGGGCGCAAGCGUUAUUCGGAAUUAUGUGGGCGUAAAGGGCGCGCAGGCGGUCUUGUCCGUCAGGUGUGAAAGCUCGGGGCCCAACUCCGAAACUGCGCCUGAAACUGUUGAUCUAGAAUCUUGGAGAGGGAAGGGGAAUUUCGCAUGUAGGAGUAAAAUCCGUAGAGAUGCGAAGGAACACCAGAGGCGAAGGCGCCUUCCUGGACAAGAAUUGACGCUGAGGCGCGAAAGCGUGGGGAGCAAACAGGAUUAGAUA
Molecule: ribosomal RNA, 280 nt
Filed under: uncultured bacterium
Lineage: Bacteria
Description: partial 16S ribosomal RNA
Rfam family: Bacterial small subunit ribosomal RNA
Source: RNAcentral